AGCCCUGGGAUCCCCACGCAGUUGGCCACACUAAGCAUACCAAUUGAUCCGUGCAGCCCUGGAAUAUCGAUAACACGUUAUCGGGAGGUGCCCACAAUCCAAUAGUACGACCUGGGCACACUAGCUGUGGGCUAUAUAUUCAGCGCGAAAAUACAAGCUAAGCUUAGUCACGUUUGUACGGCAAUCGAGGAACAUCAGAAGUAGCAGUUGUGAAGAUAUGUGAUCGUAUCGAUGAUAUAUCAAGUUUAAAAAAUUUUUGAAAGAGUUUCCGAAGUCUCCAUUUUCAUGCGGACAUGGCGAGAUCGACUUGGCUAUUGCUCCUGAUUAUGAAUAAACAAUAUAAUUGAUUUUUAUAAAAGGAUUUAAAUUCUAUAAAAACUAAAAUUAAAAAUUAGAUCCACCGUAUAAUCGAAUUUGAUGUCGCAUUGCAUAACACGAAUGGAAGGAUGAGUUUCCGAACCUUUUACUUUUUUAAAGUAUACUGUAAAUACGAUCCCUUGAUUAAAAUUGAUGAAUACCUUACAAACUUAAAAUGUGUUCACAAAACAUACAAAAACAAUCAAUUUUUAAAUGAGAUCACUUCGGAUAAGCUUUUAAAAACUUUUUCAAGGGGUUGUGUGGCUGAAAUUAUUGGAAACGCCGAUGCUCAGAUCAGCCCGGUACUCAUUAAUUUUUUUUUAUUUCGAAAGAUCAGCAGAAUUUUUCUGGGAUAUUUUUCUAAUAGUUUUCUUUGUAAAUGUAAGAAGAAAUCUCUUAAUAAUUUCAUCAAACAUUUUAAGAGAAAUGACUUUUUAUAUAAUAAUAAAUUAAUACUUGAAAUGUUAAUGUUAAAAAGUCUAAUUUAAAAAAAAAUUAAAUGCAAAAUAUUUAAGAAAAUCUAUUUGGUUUAUUAUUUGGGUCGGUGCUAUACAACUCUUUUGUUUAACUUAUAAUAUUUUAACAUAAUAUUGAAGGCCUCGUCACUUAGAAUCGGAAGCCUAUGGCACUGGCACGUAUCUGGUCCUUCCGAAGUGUCAUCAUCACUCUAGGGACAAAGCUUGUAGUGGAAUCCAUACCUAGAGUGUAUCAGUUCCUUAUCGUCCCAAUCCUCGAGAGUGCUCUUCAAAUAUAUAAGCUACGUUACGUGUUCCUCAAAUAUCAUGUCUUCGAACUGCAUCAAGAAGAGCUCAAUUUGUUUCGAGUCCAUUUUCGUUAAGGUUCUUUUAAGGUGAUUUAAAAACGGAUGUUUGAUUAAGAAAACUCAAACAUUUAUAUGGGAAAAUUUCAUUUACUCAUUUACUGAUAAAAAUUCAAUUUGUGCAGAACUAUAUCUAUUUACAUCCUUCUCUUAUACCCUGAUAGUGGUAAGGGCUGACUCAUAUCCCACCACUUAAAAAUUGUUCGAUUUUGUUUGGAUCGAAGUUUUUAAGUAUAUAUUAUUUGCUAUAGAAAUCCGCUGAGUGCUUUGAGUCAACCCUCCCCGAAUUGCUCUUUUUAAAAAAUUAUACAUAUCACCAUCAUUUAUUAGUUCUAAAUUUACAUUAGUGAACGUGAGCAUAGCAUCCCAUGAUAUUGGCGCAGUGACGUAAUUAAUGGGAUCUAACUUAUAAAUUUUUUUGCAAAUUUUCCUAAAAUUUUCAAACACAUCUGCUAAAAUUAAAACAUCGCUUUCUAAAUAUAGUUUUAAAUAGUCUUUAAUAGUUCGACAGUUAAAUGUCUCCCAAACUUUC
Drosophila santomea is the source of this 1709-nucleotide long non-coding RNA. RefSeq lists it as uncharacterized. The record is from RefSeq and is a predicted model, not a curated record. Lineage: Eukaryota; Metazoa; Arthropoda; Insecta; Diptera; Drosophilidae. The transcript is spliced from 2 exons.